RNAcentral lists this ribosomal RNA (1567 nucleotides) under Lactiplantibacillus plantarum. Its description in RNAcentral is "16S ribosomal RNA". It matches the Rfam family "Bacterial small subunit ribosomal RNA". The record is from RNAcentral. Lineage: Bacteria; Bacillati; Bacillota; Bacilli; Lactobacillales; Lactobacillaceae.
UAAUUUGAGAGUUUGAUCCUGGCUCAGGACGAACGCUGGCGGCGUGCCUAAUACAUGCAAGUCGAACGAACUCUGGCAUUGAUUGGUGCUUGCAUCAUGAUUUACAUUUGAGUGAGUGGCGAACUGGUGAGUAACACGUGGGAAACCUGCCCAGAAGCGGGGGAUAACACCUGGAAACAGAUGCUAAUACCGCAUAACAACUUGGACCGCAUGGUCCGAGCUUGAAAGAUGGCUUCGGCUAUCACUUUUGGAUGGUCCCGCGGCGUAUUAGCUAGAUGGUGGGGUAACGGCUCACCAUGGCAAUGAUACGUAGCCGACCUGAGAGGGUAAUCGGCCACAUUGGGACUGAGACACGGCCCAAACUCCUACGGGAGGCAGCAGUAGGGAAUCUUCCACAAUGGACGAAAGUCUGAUGGAGCAACGCCGCGUGAGUGAAGAAGGGUUUCGGCUCGUAAAACUCUGUUGUUAAAGAAGAACAUAUCUGAGAGUAACUGUUCAGGUAUUGACGGUAUUUAACCAGAAAGCCACGGCUAACUACGUGCCAGCAGCCGCGGUAAUACGUAGGUGGCAAGCGUUGUCCGGAUUUAUUGGGCGUAAAGCGAGCGCAGGCGGUUUUUUAAGUCUGAUGUGAAAGCCUUCGGCUCAACCGAAGAAGUGCAUCGGAAACUGGGAAACUUGAGUGCAGAAGAGGACAGUGGAACUCCAUGUGUAGCGGUGAAAUGCGUAGAUAUAUGGAAGAACACCAGUGGCGAAGGCGGCUGUCUGGUCUGUAACUGACGCUGAGGCUCGAAAGUAUGGGUAGCAAACAGGAUUAGAUACCCUGGUAGUCCAUACCGUAAACGAUGAAUGCUAAGUGUUGGAGGGUUUCCGCCCUUCAGUGCUGCAGCUAACGCAUUAAGCAUUCCGCCUGGGGAGUACGGCCGCAAGGCUGAAACUCAAAGGAAUUGACGGGGGCCCGCACAAGCGGUGGAGCAUGUGGUUUAAUUCGAAGCUACGCGAAGAACCUUACCAGGUCUUGACAUACUAUGCAAAUCUAAGAGAUUAGACGUUCCCUUCGGGGACAUGGAUACAGGUGGUGCAUGGUUGUCGUCAGCUCGUGUCGUGAGAUGUUGGGUUAAGUCCCGCAACGAGCGCAACCCUUAUUAUCAGUUGCCAGCAUUAAGUUGGGCACUCUGGUGAGACUGCCGGUGACAAACCGGAGGAAGGUGGGGAUGACGUCAAAUCAUCAUGCCCCUUAUGACCUGGGCUACACACGUGCUACAAUGGAUGGUACAACGAGUUGCGAACUCGCGAGAGUAAGCUAAUCUCUUAAAGCCAUUCUCAGUUCGGAUUGUAGGCUGCAACUCGCCUACAUGAAGUCGGAAUCGCUAGUAAUCGCGGAUCAGCAUGCCGCGGUGAAUACGUUCCCGGGCCUUGUACACACCGCCCGUCACACCAUGAGAGUUUGUAACACCCAAAGUCGGUGGGGUAACCUUUUAGGAACCAGCCGCCUAAGGUGGGACAGAUGAUUAGGGUGAAGUCGUAACAAGGUAGCCGUAGGAGAACCUGCGGCUGGAUCACCUCCUUU